GAAAAUUUACUAAAAGGCAAAGAUUUAGAGCAAGAUUGUGACGCUGCUGGUGGAACCUCCCCAGCCCUCGCUAACAGGUUCGAUAUCAAUUAACCAAUUGCAAAAUUUUCCCUAACCUAAUUAAAACAAUUCCAACGAAUUCUAGGAAUUCUCAUAGGAAAACAUGAAACAAAUUGUACCCUAACCUAAUGCAAAUUCAAAUAAAAAGUCACAAAGCUAUGCUUCAAUUAUUCAUGUCGACAAAUCAAGAUGGUCCACAUAAAAUUAUCUUUUACCUGUUUGACGGAAACAUAGCCAUCUACUUGUUCCAUAGAAAUGUCAUCUUCUAAAUUCAUUCUUUUUGCUUUCUCUGAACGAUUUUGCUUUCUCUGAAUGAAAGGGGAUGAAAAUGAUGAGUUAGGGUUUAUGGGAGACAAAUUUUCUAAACUUUUCUUUUCUUUUCUUUUUUUAUAAAAAAAAUUAAUGCAAAAAGGAGUAAGUAAGAUCCCUAUUAGUCAUUUUACAAAUGGAUAAAUUUGUAAUUAAAAAAUUCAUAAAAAGGUGGGUGGGGAAAUAAGACACCGGGGUGGGAAUAUCAUCACUCUUUUGUUAAUUAUCUUGUCAAUUUGAGGGUUGUUUUUGUCUGUUUUGUACAUUAAAAACCUUUUGAAUUUACUGUAGUCUGUAAACGUAUCCUUUUAAUAACAUUUGUUGUAAAUGUAGCGUGGUGUUGACAUAUAUGCCCUUGAAAUUUUGGUGAUGUGCAUAGCACAAGAUUGAAUUUUCGGAUAUUAGAAUUUACAUACAUGAAUUGAAAGUUUAGGGAUCAGAAAUUCAAAUUGGAAGUUCAAAGAACAAAGUGAAACAAUGUUUAAAGUUUAGACAUCAUUAAAGUUUUCUCGAUGGUUUGUUUAUGCUUAUUUUCUCUACAUACGGAGCUUAUAUGAAAUACGUAGUUUUGUUGAUACUUUCGAUUGAUGUACAAAAAGGAAGUGACAUACAUGAUAUAUAAUGGGGAAGCAAUUUACAAUGCACGAAAAUGACACAAUAACAAUAUAACGGUGCUGACACACUCUGACCCGGAUAUCCAAAUGAACAUUGAAAUCGAGGCAUGUUAACAUACAUUUGGAAGGUGAUGAUGCCAUAAUAUGCAAAUGAUGUGUAAAGCGUACAAAUAGAUUAAAACCAAAGUCUAGAACUAAAUUAGACAAAGAGUGAGAGUGCGCAAGGCGGAAAGAACCCUUAUUACAAAUGCAUGUAGUGUCAAAGCAUAGACAAAAGUGCAGUAAAGGUGAGAAAAUUCUCACCUUGGGGAGGACGGAUAUUACACAAGUAACAGGAAAUAAACUUCCUACAUUAUUAGAAGUAGAUGUCAAAAUCCCCUAAUGAACCCUUGCUCACCAUAGAGUCCAGCUAUUAAGUCCUGGAGGAACGCAAAACAAAAAUAUGAGUGGGCAAAAUAAGUAUUUACCAAAACCUUUGCUUUUCGUAACCCAGUGACAUUUAGUUGUAAAACCCAUAGUUUCCAAAAUCAUAAUAUGUAUAAGUAUGCAAAACCAACGUGAAUGGUAUAAAAGUAGUUAUACUAAGGAUACAUGCAAAUCACAACUAUCUCAACAAAUGUAACCAAUAUGCUCAUAAAAAAAAAUGCAACACACGCAAGUCUAUGUAUAAAGUAGCUACAUGAACAGGUUAGGCAUAAUAAUCUACGUUUGAGCAUUACAUACAUGUGAAGCUAGCGCUAAGCGCAUCACCUACGAGUCCUAAAUGCAAAAACAACUAGUACAUGUUGGCAUCUAUAAUGAAUCCAAAAUGAGCAUAAUAGUGCGAUGUAAACAUAUACAUGAAGUUGGUCUUGGCCAGAACGAGUACUAUAGACAUCCGUGUAAGCAUGCAUGAUGAGCAAGUAAAAUAUGUAUGAUUAUGCCACCAUAAUUUCAUAAAUCUCAUCUCAACCUCAACAUGUAACAUUUCUAAGUAACGGUGUGGCAUGGUGUAAAACAUUCAUAAAGCCAUCAUCGAGACUAUAUAAAUAUAGUAGAUGUUUGAAAACAAAACCCACUCACUCAUAUGUUGUUGGAUUGUAGCCGCCUUACCUUGUCUAACCUUUGUAAUUCUCGGAGUAAGUCUCUCCUAUAUGGGAAACCACUAUACUAUUUAUUACACUAAUUUAAGGGUGCAA
This 2161-nucleotide long non-coding RNA is filed under the name Malus domestica (apple). RNAcentral's name for it is "long non-coding RNA (MDOM_LNC010830)". Lineage: Eukaryota; Viridiplantae; Streptophyta; Magnoliopsida; Rosales; Rosaceae. The record is from RNAcentral.